CCAAUAGCGUAUAUUAAAGUUGUUGCAGUUAAAAAGCUCGUAGUUGAAUUUCGGGGUUAGUAGGUUGGUCAUGCCUCUGGUAUGUACUGGUCUCACUGAUUCCUCCUUCCUGAUGAACCUCAAUGCCAUUAAUUUGGUGUUUUGGGGAAUUUGGACUGUUACUUUGAAAAAAUUAGAGUGUUUAAAGCAAGCUAACGCUU
Molecule: ribosomal RNA, 200 nt
Filed under: uncultured Glomus
Lineage: Eukaryota; Fungi; Glomeromycota; Glomeromycetes; Glomerales; Glomeraceae
Description: partial small subunit ribosomal RNA
Rfam family: Eukaryotic small subunit ribosomal RNA
Source: RNAcentral